ACGGGUACUCGUGGGGCGAACCGGUGAUUAUAAGUGAGUAACCUGCCCCCUACUUUGGGAUAACCCUCCAAAACGGGGGCUAAUACCCGAUAUGACGCUUGCCGGUAUCGGGCGGAGUGUACAGUUUUUCGGUGGGGGAUGGGCUCGCGGUCUAUCGCUUGCUGGUGGGGUAAUGGCCUACCAUGGCCACGACGGGUAGCCGGCCUGAGAGGGUGCCGGUUCACUGGGACUGACCACCGGCCUUAUUCUUACCGAACGAAGAAGGGGGUAAUCUUGCUCAAUGAGAGAAAGCCUGACUAACCAACGCCGCGUGGGGGAUGAAUGCCUUCCGGUUGUAAAUCCCUUUCAGCGCGAACGAAAAUGAUGGUGCCUGCAUAAAAAGGCCCGGCCAACUACUUGCCAGCAGCCUUCCUAUCACCUAGGGGCCUAGCGUUGUCCGGAGUUAGCGUGCGUAAGAGCUCGUAGGCGGUUGGGCAGUCGGGCGUGAAAAC
Molecule: ribosomal RNA, 491 nt
Filed under: uncultured bacterium
Lineage: Bacteria
Description: bacterial SSU rRNA
Rfam family: Bacterial small subunit ribosomal RNA
Source: RNAcentral